AGUUGGUGGAGUGAUUUGUCUGGUUAAUUCCGUUAACGAACGAGACCUUAGCCUGCUAACUAGUCGAUUCAAUCCUGAUUGGCUUCGACUUCUUAGAGGGACUUUGUGAUUAAACACAAGGAAGUUUGAGGCAAUAACAGGUCU
This 144-nucleotide ribosomal RNA is filed under the name Ciliophora sp. Its description in RNAcentral is "partial small subunit ribosomal RNA". It matches the Rfam family "Eukaryotic small subunit ribosomal RNA", at positions 1296 to 1463 of the family's 1831-position model. The record is from RNAcentral. Lineage: Eukaryota; Ciliophora.